GGGGGGGGGGGGGGGGGGGGGGGGGGGGGGGGGGGCGGGGGGGGGCGCGGGGGGAGCCCUGGGGGCGGGUGGCGAACGGGUGGGUAAUGCAUCGGAACGGGCCCGGGCGUGGGGGGUAACGUAGCGGAAGUUACGCUAAUACCGCAUGCGAUCUGAGGAUGAGAGCGGGGGACCUUCGGGCCUCGCGCGCUCGGAGCGGCCGAUGUCAGAUUAGGUAGUUGGUGGGGUAAAGGCCUACCAAGCCGACGAUCUGUAGCUGGUCUGAGAGGACGACCAGCCACACUGGGACUGAGACACGGCCCAGACUCCUACGGGAGGCAGCAGUGGGGAAUGUUGGACAAUGGGCGCAAGCCUGAUCCAGCCAUUCCGCGUGCAGGACGAAGGCCUUCGGGUUGUAAACUGCUUUUGUAUGGAACGAAAAGGCUCUGGCUAAUACCUGGGGCUCAUGACGGUACCGUAAGAAUAAGCACCGGCUAACUACGUG
Molecule: ribosomal RNA, 484 nt
Filed under: uncultured bacterium
Lineage: Bacteria
Description: partial 16S ribosomal RNA
Rfam family: Bacterial small subunit ribosomal RNA
Source: RNAcentral